Molecule: ribosomal RNA, 253 nt
Filed under: uncultured bacterium
Lineage: Bacteria
Description: partial 16S ribosomal RNA
Rfam family: Bacterial small subunit ribosomal RNA
Source: RNAcentral
UACAGAGGGUGCAAGCGUUAAUCGGAAUUACUGGGCGUAAAGCGCGCGUAGGUGGUUUGUUAAGUUGAAUGUGAAAUCCCCGGGCUCAACCUGGGAACUGCAUGCAAAACUGGCAAGCUAGAGUAUGGUAGAGGGUGGUGGAAUUUCCUGUGUAGCGGUGAAAUGCGUAGAUAUAGGAAGGAACACCAGUGGCGAAGGCGACCACCUGGACUGAUACUGACACUGAGGUGCGAAAGCGUGGGGAGCAAACAGG